CAUCACAAUAUCAUCGAAACUUCUUUCAAUAGAUUGAAAUAUUUUCAAUUCUACCCUUCAAGGGUCAUCGAUCAUUAAGACGAUUCUUGAUAAGUCUCACAAUCCACCAGUGAUAUCUAGCAGAUAUAGUGCCAACCCAGUAGAAUGAGAGUAUGAACUCCUAGAUGCAGUUAUCAUAUGAUUCGUCCUUCUAUCAUGAGUCCUGACCUAAUGGAGG
This 217-nucleotide long non-coding RNA is filed under the name Elaeis guineensis (African oil palm). RNAcentral's name for it is "long non-coding RNA (EGUI_LNC042564)". The record is from RNAcentral. Lineage: Eukaryota; Viridiplantae; Streptophyta; Magnoliopsida; Arecales; Arecaceae.